CAAAAUGUAGCUUAACUAAAAGCCUUUCGCUUACACCGAAAAAACAUUUGUGAAACCCAAAUCAUUUUGA
RNAcentral lists this transfer RNA (70 nucleotides) under Rhacophorus nigropalmatus. RNAcentral's name for it is "tRNA-Val". It matches the Rfam family "tRNA". Rfam says of the family: Transfer RNA (tRNA) molecules are approximately 80 nucleotides in length. Their secondary structure includes four short double-helical elements and three loops (D, anti-codon, and T loops). Further hydrogen bonds mediate the characteristic L-shaped molecular structure. tRNAs have two regions of fundamental functional importance: the anti-codon, which is responsible for specific mRNA codon recognition, and the 3' end, to which the tRNAs corresponding amino acid is attached (by aminoacyl-tRNA synthetases). tRNAs cope with the degeneracy of the genetic code in two manners: having more than one tRNA (with a specific anti-codon) for a particular amino acid; and 'wobble' base-pairing, i.e. permitting non-standard base-pairing at the 3rd anti-codon position. The record is from RNAcentral. Lineage: Eukaryota; Metazoa; Chordata; Amphibia; Anura; Rhacophoridae.